RNAcentral lists this ribosomal RNA (460 nucleotides) under uncultured bacterium. RNAcentral describes it as "partial 16S ribosomal RNA". It matches the Rfam family "Bacterial small subunit ribosomal RNA", at positions 338 to 795 of the family's 1533-position model. The record is from RNAcentral.
CCUACGGGAGGCAGCAGUGAGGGAUAUUGGUCCAUGGACGAGAGUCUGAACCAGCCAAGUAGCGUGAAGGAUGACUGCCCUGUGGGUUGUAAACUUCUUUUAUAUGGGAAUAAAACGUUCCACGUGUGGGAUUUUGUAUGUACCAUAUGAAUAAGGAUCGGCUAACUCCGGGCCAGCAGCCGCGGUAAGACGGAGGAUCCGAGCGUUAUCCGGAUUUAUUGGGUUUAAAGGGAGCUUAGGUGGAUUGUUAAGUCAGUUGUGAAAGUUUGCGGCUCAACCGUAAAAUUGCAGUUGAAACUGGCAGUCUUGAGUACAGUAGAGGUGGGCGGAAUUCGUGGUGUAGCGGUGAAAUGCUUAGAUAUCACGAAGAACUCCGAUUGCGAAGGCAGUUCACUGGACUGCAACUGACACUGAGGCUCGAAAGUGUGGGUAUCAAACAGGAUUAGAUACCCGUGUAGUC